GUCUGACACGGCCCCACGGUGUCCAGUUUGGGCCCGAGUUUUGGUCGUGGUGCGAUGAC
Molecule: regulatory RNA element, 59 nt
Organism: Roseomonas sp.
Lineage: Bacteria; Pseudomonadati; Pseudomonadota; Alphaproteobacteria; Acetobacterales; Roseomonadaceae
Rfam family: Selenocysteine insertion sequence 3
Source: Rfam